Molecule: long non-coding RNA, 2188 nt
Organism: Triticum dicoccoides
Lineage: Eukaryota; Viridiplantae; Streptophyta; Magnoliopsida; Poales; Poaceae
Exons: 6
Source: RefSeq, a predicted model, not a curated record
UUUGGGCUUCUAUCUUGAUGUAAGCAGUCACUAUCCCCUUCUCGGCUUCGAUUCAAACUCACCUGGUGGCUAAGAUUAUUUGGGUUGUCAGCAGUUAAUAACCACUAUUACCUUUAACAAUAGCAGUAAAGGAAAACCUAAAUGGUUAAUGUAGACACUUGUGUAUGUGGCUUUGCUUCAAACAGAAUAAGGCAAGCAGCAUUGUUAUGACCCCAAAAGGAUAGUUAACUAAUGUGUGAUAUAAAUAAUUUACCUUUGGAUGAUAUGCAGAGAGGGCCACUCUUAAAUAUACGUGGUUAUGAGGUAAUUCGUUGCUAUGUGAUGCAUCGUUUGGUCCUGCUCUAGUGUUGAUUUGCCUUCUUUUGCUCGGCUCAUGUUGCGUUUGGCUUGGAGACUACUGAAAUGGAAAUGUGUUGGAGCGAUUAUGUGUUGCAGAUGAGGAAGUGAUAGGUUCGGAAAAUGACAAUAUUUACCUAUCUCUCAUCUCUACUGUAUUCAUCGUCACUCUGUUCCAUACACUAAGAAACGUGAAGUCUGCCGGUUGCCACUCGCGCUGCUGCUCUGCUUGGAGGCGUCGUCGCCGACUGGAGGAGCGCCGAAUCAUCGUCCUCGAGUUCGUGCACUUCAGGAAAAAGAUGGCCCGAGGUGAGACGCCACGCAUCCGCCGUGCAAAGGUAGAGCUUGACAUAUAGGUCAGUGUGUGUGUGUGCAACAGCUAUAGAGAGACCAACGUCGAGGUACCCACUGCUCCUGUUGAUGAUAGCCUGCCGUAGGUACGAAUCAGGUCCCUAGACCAUUAUGAGCCCUAAUUUUCAUGGAGCAAGGUGCAGCUUGCUGCUUUUUCUUUUGGUAAAAAGGAAUCCCUAUUGUUAUGUUGGUAGCCUCUUUGCAAGUUUAUUAUGCCUUUUUGACAUUUUUUGUUCUAUCUUGCUAUGCAUUGUAUCAUAUUACAGUUGUGUGCUCAAACCAACUGAGCUUAAUUCACGUAUAUAGAUAUUUAAGAAUGUGGGGAUGAGGCCCAAUUGGCAAGGUUUGCAAUAUUGUAGGAAUCAUUUGGAGAUGGGUUGUAGAUAUUAAGCUAUGUAGGAGAUGAUUUUGAGGUAACAAGCCUUCGGCUUGCUUUCUGUUAACCUUUUUAUGCAUGAGUUCGGUUUGAUGCAAUCUAGGCAUUGUUUGUUGUCGAAUGGAUUAUUUUUUCCUGCUAGGUAACAUCUGAUGCUUAGAAUGCACUAUUUCUGAUGGCCCAGAAAAAAACUCUGUGUACAUAUUGUUUUGUUUAUAUGCAUACAAGAUGCAUGUUUAUGCCUCAUGCCUGCUGAUUUAUAUGACCGAGGAACUCUCUUUCUUCCUAGAUGUGCCCAUAUGCCCUUCAUUGAUAUAGCAUCUCCGUACUUGUAUAUUAUUCACAUAUAGCAUCUCAUUUCUUGGCUGAUUGCUUAUAUAUAUAUAUUCAACUUCUGUUUCCUGGCAUUCGCAUAUUACAAGCUAAAUAAAGUUUGCCAUUCCUUUUGGCCACUUAUAGAUGUAACUAGAAGCCUGGAUGAUCUGUGAUGCUGGCAAUUGUCAGAUUGCAUCCAUUUAAUUAUAGCACAAUAUAUCACAUUUGUGGUAAAUUUAGCAAAGCUUGUGCCUAUCCUUUUAGUAGUCAAUAUGGUUCAGAUGCAGUAUUUUUUAUUUCCUUUUUUUUUGCUUUCAGCACACACAUAUGGCAUUGAAGUAGGCAGAGUAGUUGUGUCACUUACUGAUGCUCUUAUGGUACACAGUACACUAUUAAGGUGUUGGGCCCAGAAACAGGAAGAGUAAUCCUAUUCCAAGUAAAUGAUGCCCAGAGGUGGAGGAAUUUGGAUGAUCUAUAGUCAAAGGAUACCAUCAAGCAAGAGGACGCACAAGGAGGGUCGCCCCGGAGUAGAGGUAGAGGACGUUGCCAGUUGCAUCUCUCUCUGACCUGAAGCCCACCUUGGCAUGGAUGUGACCAGUGUUGAUCCCCAACAUCGGCAAGCAUUUGUGUUCAAGUUGAUCUGGAACAAUUUGAAGGGUUUCCUCGACACAAAAUCUUCAGCCAAGGUUUACUUAAGCACCUCCAAUUAUGUAUAGAAGUUUAAAAUUGUACUUGUUUCAGGUUCUUCGCCACAUUAUGUAUGCUUUGUUAAAUUUUUUUAAUAAUUGGACCUAUUUGCUAUGUGGAACA